UAGAUGAGAAAGCUGAAAUACUGCAAGUUGAAAUGACUCGUCCUAGAUCCCAGGUCUAGUGAAGAGUGAGCACCAGAAAUCACAUGUACUAGACUACCAGCAGUCAGAUAUAAUCAGCCCCCAAAUCUCCUGUGGUUCACUAUAUAUAAAAGAAAAAAAAAAAACAAGGAAUAUCCAACCAAAACAAGGAAACUUGGAAAAUCAGAACAGUAAGAACAAUUUUUCAACCACCAUGAUUCCAGCAAAAAGGAUUUUCUAAUCACAAGAAAUCCUCCAAAUGGAGACACAAAAUUCUUCACUUAAACAAGAUUGUGCUUUAUAGAGUGGAGGAGAUAAAUG
This 339-nucleotide long non-coding RNA is filed under the name Homo sapiens (human). Its description in RNAcentral is "non-protein coding lnc-PENK-1:3". Lineage: Eukaryota; Metazoa; Chordata; Mammalia; Primates; Hominidae. The record is from RNAcentral.